RNAcentral lists this ribosomal RNA (278 nucleotides) under uncultured Rikenellaceae bacterium. Its description in RNAcentral is "partial 16S ribosomal RNA". It matches the Rfam family "Bacterial small subunit ribosomal RNA", at positions 511 to 788 of the family's 1533-position model. The record is from RNAcentral. Lineage: Bacteria; Pseudomonadati; Bacteroidota; Bacteroidia; Bacteroidales; Rikenellaceae.
GCAGCCGCGGUAAUACGGGGGAUGCAAGCGUUAUCCGGAUUUAUUGGGUUUAAAGGGUGCGUAGGCGGUCUGGUAAGUCAGCGGUGAAAUUUCCGAGCUCAACUUGGAACGUGCCGUUGAUACUGUCGGACUAGAAUGCGGAUGCCGUGGGAGGAAUGUGUGGUGUAGCGGUGAAAUGCAUAGAUAUCACACAGAACACCGAUUGCGAAGGCAUCUCACGAAUCCGCGAUUGACGCUGAGGCACGAAAGCGUGGGGAUCAAACAGGAUUAGAUACCCC